CGCGUGAGUGAAGAAGGCUUCGGGUUGUAAAGCUCUUUCAGCAGGAACGAAAAGGUGAGCUCUAACAUAGCUUACUAAUGACGGUACCUGAAGAAGAAGCACCGGCUAACUACGUGCCAGCAGCCGCGGUAAUACGUAGGGUGCGAGCGUUAAUCGGAAUUACUGGGCGUAAAGCGUGCGCAGGCGGUUUUGUAAGACAGGUGUGAAAUCCCCGGGCUUAACCUGGGAACUGCGCUUGUGACUGCAAGACUAGAGUGUGGCAGAGGGGGGUGGAAUUCCACGUGUAGCAGUGAAAUGCGUAGAGAUGUGGAGGANCACCGAUGGCGAAGGCAGCCCCCUGGGUUAACACUGACGCUCAUGCACGAAAGCGUGGGUAGCAAACAGGAUUAGAUCCCUGGUAGUCCACGCCCUAAACGAUGCCACUAGGUGUUGGAGAAGGAGACUUC
This 446-nucleotide ribosomal RNA is filed under the name uncultured bacterium. RNAcentral's name for it is "bacterial SSU rRNA". It matches the Rfam family "Bacterial small subunit ribosomal RNA", at positions 398 to 838 of the family's 1533-position model. The record is from RNAcentral.